RNAcentral lists this ribosomal RNA (254 nucleotides) under uncultured bacterium. RNAcentral describes it as "partial 16S ribosomal RNA". It matches the Rfam family "Bacterial small subunit ribosomal RNA", at positions 524 to 776 of the family's 1533-position model. The record is from RNAcentral.
GACGUAGGGAGCAAGCGUUGUCCGGAUUUACUGGGCGUAAAGAGCGCGUAGGCGGUCUGUUAAGUGUAGAGUGAAAUCUCCAGGGCUCAACCCGGAAACUGCUCUGCAUACUGGCAGACUUGAGGGACUGAGAGGUGAAUGGAAUUCCUGGUGUAGCGGUGAAAUGCGUAGAUAUCAGGAGGAACACCGGUGGCGAAGGCGGGUCUCUGGGCAGUAACUGACGCUGAGGAGCGAAAGCGUGGGGAGCGAACAGG